UCAAGCAGCUGGUGAGAGAAAAAGUAGAUCUUGCUCUCAAAAAGUUUGGGCACCUCUGAUGUACAUGAUGUUGGCCAAACCAAUACCAGUUUAGAACAUCUGUGUAUUGCAGAGUAAACAUGCAAUACCUCAUUCAAGCACACUGAAGCUACUACAUGAAUCUCAUACUAUAUUAUUUCACAGAAUUGGUCAUACUACAAAACACAGCUUUAACUUCAGUUUUUAACCAAAUUUUACAUAUAUAAGCAAGAAAUAUUAAAAUAUUUUAUUACGGGACAUGAUAUUUAAACAUAAAAUCAUGUUUGUUUGUUGGUGUGAAAAAUGUAAGAGCUUCUUAGAAAGAACAGAAGAAUGCUGUUGUACUGCCUGAUGUAGCCACUGGGGUCCAGUAUGGGAACUAAAUGUUUAACGCUACUAUCAAUGAUACUCACAAAUACAUCAACUCUACUGUAGGAGCUGCAAUGAGAUGGAAGCUUCUUUUUCAGGCUAUGAAAGAUUUUAUACUUUACCUUCCUUUAUCUUCCUUUAACUAUGAACUAUUUCUUGUUAAUGUGUUCAUGAAUUUGCAGAUCAAUUUUUGCAUAACUCAGUUUUAUUGUGAAAGUAACUGAUGCAGUUGGAAUCCUGACAAUAUACCUGACUUAAACUGCUCCAAGUUACAUUAUCUGACAGGGCGUUUCCAAUAGAUAAACAGAACAAAUAGUUUUGUUAUGAAAUUCAAAUCUUCUAUCUAUGCAUGGUUUUUGUUACAUUUUAGGAAAUGUCUUAAACCAUCUUUUUUAUUAUGUAUGCUAUAGAUUGCAAAUGCAAUUUUAACAGAAA
Poecilia latipinna (sailfin molly) is the source of this 822-nucleotide long non-coding RNA. RefSeq lists it as uncharacterized. Lineage: Eukaryota; Metazoa; Chordata; Actinopteri; Cyprinodontiformes; Poeciliidae. The record is from RefSeq and is a predicted model, not a curated record. The transcript has 3 exons.